GUGCCAGCCGCCGCGGUAAUACGUAGGUGGCAAGCGUUGUCCGGAAUUACUGGGCGUAAAGGGUGCGCAGGCGGACAUUUAAGUGAGAUGUGAAAUCCCCGGGCUUAACUUGGGGGCUGCAUUUCAAACUGGAUGUCUAGAGUGCAGGAGAGGAAAGCAGAAUUCCUAGUGUAGCGGUGAUAUGCGUUGAGAUUAGGAAGAAUACCAGUGGCGAAUGCGGCUUUCUGGACUG
Molecule: ribosomal RNA, 232 nt
Filed under: uncultured bacterium
Lineage: Bacteria
Description: partial 16S rRNA
Rfam family: Bacterial small subunit ribosomal RNA
Source: RNAcentral